CACCAAGACUUAAAAGCUCUUUUCGUGUUAUGAAUGAAAUUACAUUUUGAAAUAAGUUUGAUAGUUUUAUAAAAUUUCUUUACUUCUGUUUUCCAUUUAAACCCCUAUAAAGAAUAUGAAAGAUUACCUUUUUUAAAACCUUUAACUGUAAUCACUCUAUUUUGCUGCUACUUUAUAAUUGUAAAUAUUUGCUGUCUAUGUUCAGUACAUGUAGUUAGAACUCGAAGUAUCUACAAUGGAACCGCGAUCCAUUUUGCAAGCAGCACUGACCUCAUUUACCUUCAAGACUGACUUUGGCACAAGGAUAGUGAAGCAAAACCGGUUCCUUGCCCUCCUGCAAGGUGAAGAACACUUCCAGACUUAAAAGAUGACAAAUGAGGAGCACAAUGUGGAAAAGUUAGUAGCAGCUGCUGGGAACUUAAUAAUGAAGCCACAAUGUUUCCUUCACAUGGAAAAUGAAAACAAGGAGGACAGAAGUGGAGAAACACCAAGAGAUCAUGAAUUUAAGGGGCUUCCCUGCCUCCUGUCGUUCUGGACUUCCCACUGGUCCCAGCCCUCUCUGUGCCCUCCGCUCCUGCCCGCUCCAGCACCAGCGCUGCAUGUUGGAGCUCUCCCGGCCGCUGCUGCUGUUGCCACUGUUGUUGCUUUCUGUGUGACAGUGCCGCAGGGGCCACGUGGAACUGCUUUGCUGGCUCACGGAAGUGGACAGAGUGAUUUUCUGGGUGAUAUUCUUUAUAAUUGUGUGUUUGUUGUUUUAUUUUGGUUUUGCCCUUUUUCUUAGUAAAAUUUGUUACUUUGUUUAUACUCCUUCCUUUUAAGUCCCAUUAUUUUUAAUGGAUGGGAUGUAGGACCUCCCAUUGAAG
Lepidothrix coronata (blue-crowned manakin) is the source of this 863-nucleotide long non-coding RNA. RefSeq lists it as uncharacterized. The transcript has 3 exons. The record is from RefSeq and is a predicted model, not a curated record. Lineage: Eukaryota; Metazoa; Chordata; Aves; Passeriformes; Pipridae.